This 417-nucleotide ribosomal RNA is filed under the name uncultured soil bacterium. Its description in RNAcentral is "bacterial SSU rRNA". It matches the Rfam family "Bacterial small subunit ribosomal RNA", at positions 26 to 485 of the family's 1533-position model. The record is from RNAcentral.
AGAACGAACGCUGGCGGCAUGCCUAAUACAUGCAAGUCGAACGAGAUCUUCGGAUCUAGUGGCGCACGGGUGCGUAACGCGUGGGAAUCUACCCUUGGGUUCGGAAUAACAGUUGGAAACGACUGCUAAUACCGGAUGAUGACGAAAGUCCAAAGAUUUAUCGCCCAGGGAUGAGCCCGCGUAGGAUUAGCUAGUUGGUGAGGUAAAGGCUCACCAAGGCUACGAUCCUUAGCUGGUCUGAGAGGAUGAUCAGCCACACUGGGACUGAGACACGGCCCAGACUCCUACGGGAGGCAGCAGUAGGGAAUAGUUGGACAAGUGGGGGACAACCCUGAUCCAGCAAUGCCGCGUGAGUGAUGAAGGCGUUAGGGUUAGUAAAGCUCGUUUACCGAGAUGAUAAUAGACAGUAGUAGGGAA